RNAcentral lists this ribosomal RNA (748 nucleotides) under Candidatus Kerfeldbacteria bacterium CG_4_9_14_3_um_filter_45_8. RNAcentral's name for it is "bacterial SSU rRNA". It matches the Rfam family "Bacterial small subunit ribosomal RNA", at positions 1 to 788 of the family's 1533-position model. The record is from RNAcentral. Lineage: Bacteria; Candidatus Kerfeldiibacteriota.
UUCAUUGAGAGUUUGAUCCUGGCUCAGGAUGAACGCUGGCGGCGUGUCUAAGGCAUGCAAGUCGAACGACACAGUGGCAAACGGGAGAGUAAGACAGCGGUAACCUACCCCAUAGACGAGGACAACCAUUGGAAACGAUGGCUAAUACUCGAUAGUCUAGAUAAUCAUAUGUUUAUCUAGUAAAUGCUCCGGCGCUAUGGGAGGGACCUUUGCAUCAUCAGCUUGUUGGUAGGGUAACGGCCUACCAAGGCUACAACGAUUAGGGGGUGUGAGAGCAUGGCCCCCCUCACUGGGACUGAGACACUGCCCAGACACCUACGGGUGGCUGCAGUCAAGAAUCUUCCCCAAUGGACGAAAGUCUGAGGGAGCGACGCCGCGUGCAGGAUGAAGGCCUUCGGGUCGUAAACUGCUUUUAUCAGGGACGAACGAUGACGGUACCUGAAGAAUAAGAGGUUGCUAACUCUGUGCCAGCAGCAGCGGUAAUACAGAGACCUCGAGCGUUAUCCGGAUUUAUUGGGCGUAAAGUGUCCGCAGGUGGCUUUGCGCGUCGUCGGUUAAAUCUAAAGGCUCAACCUUUAGACCGCCGAUGAUACGGCAAAGCUAGAGCAUGGGAGAGGUAAGCGGAAUUACCGGUGUAGUAGUAAAAUACGUUAAUAUCGGUAGGAACACCAAAUGCGAAGGCAGCUUACUGGAACAUUGCUGACACUCAGGGACGAAAGCGUGGGGAGCGAAAGGGAUUAGAUACCCC